AUACGGAGGGUGCAAGCGUUACUCGGAAUCACUGGGCGUAAAGCGCGCGCAGGCGGCUAUUUAAGUUGGAUGCGAAAGCCUAUGGCUCAACCAUAGAACUGCAUCCAAAACUAUUUAGCUAGAGUGUGGGAGAGGAAGAUGGAAUUAGUUGUGUAGGGGUAAAAUCCGUAGAGAUAACUAGGAAUACCAAAAGCGAAGGCAAUCUUCUGGAACACUACUGACGCUGAGGCGCGAAAGCGUGGGGAGCAAACAGGAUUAGAAACCCUAGUAGUCC
This 274-nucleotide ribosomal RNA is filed under the name uncultured bacterium. RNAcentral's name for it is "partial 16S ribosomal RNA". It matches the Rfam family "Bacterial small subunit ribosomal RNA", at positions 523 to 796 of the family's 1533-position model. The record is from RNAcentral.